Molecule: transfer RNA, 62 nt
Filed under: Salmo salar (Atlantic salmon)
Lineage: Eukaryota; Metazoa; Chordata; Actinopteri; Salmoniformes; Salmonidae
Rfam family: tRNA
About the family: Transfer RNA (tRNA) molecules are approximately 80 nucleotides in length. Their secondary structure includes four short double-helical elements and three loops (D, anti-codon, and T loops).
Source: Rfam by way of RNAcentral
CAUGGCUCAGUUGGUAGAGCACGUCACUUGCAAAGGCAGUGUUGUGGGUUUGAUUCCCAUUG